This 511-nucleotide ribosomal RNA is filed under the name uncultured bacterium. RNAcentral's name for it is "partial 16S ribosomal RNA". The record is from RNAcentral.
GGAGUUAGCCGGUGCUUCUUCUGCGAGUAACGUCACAGAUGUAAGGUAUUAACUUACACCCUUUCCUCCUCGCUGAAAGUGCUUUACAACCCGAAGGCCUUCUUCACACACGCGGCAUGGCUGCAUCAGGGUUUCCCCCAUUGUGCAAUAUUCCCCACUGCUGCCUCCCGUAGGAGUCUGGGCCGUGUCUCAGUCCCAGUGUGGCUGAUCAUCCUCUCAGACCAGCUAGGGAUCGUCGCCUAGGUGAGCCUUUACCUCACCUACUAGCUAAUCCCACCUGGGCUUAUCCAUCAGCGCAAGGCCCGAAGGUCCCCUGCUUUCCCCCGUAGGGCGUAUGCGGUAUUAGCAGUCGUUUCCAACUGUUAUCCCCCACAAAUGGGCAAAUUCCCAGGCAUUACUCACCCGUCCGCCGCUCGUCAUCUUCAAAAGCAAGCUUUGAAAUGUUACCGCUCGACUUGCAUGUGUUAGGCCUGCCGCCAGCGUUCAAUCUGAGCCAUAAUCAAAACUCUGA